This 253-nucleotide ribosomal RNA is filed under the name uncultured bacterium. RNAcentral describes it as "partial 16S ribosomal RNA". It matches the Rfam family "Bacterial small subunit ribosomal RNA", at positions 524 to 776 of the family's 1533-position model. The record is from RNAcentral.
GACAGAGGGGGCAAGCGUUGCUCGGAAUCACUGGGCGUAAAGGGCGCGUAGGCGGGAUGGCAAGUCGGUCGUGAAAUCCUUCGGCUCAACCGAAGAACGUCGGCCGAUACUGCCGUUCUUGAGGGAUGCAGAGGAGAUUGGAAUUCCCGGUGUAGCGGUGAAAUGUGUAGAGAUCGGGAGGAACACCGGUGGCGAAGGCGGGUCUCUGGGCAGUUCCUGACACUGAGGCACGAAGGCUAGGGGAGCAAACGGG